CGGAGUAUAAAUCAUGUAAUAAUCCAUCAUCCUUUCACCCUAUGUUUCAGAAACCCUAAUCUCCUUCGCCUCCAUCGUUCGUUCUUACAUCAUUGGUCAUCGAUAUCAAAUCACCAUUCUUUUGUAAACCCUAACCUUCCUUCCCCUUCAUCAUGAAUCAUCAUUCUCUUCUCCAAUGGUUAAACAAACCAGAUAGGGUUUCCAUUUCCUCAUCGCAAUCCGAUUUCAAAUCUCAGAAACCCUAUGCAAUCCGAAGAUAUCUUUAGGGUUGUUUUCGAAGCCCUAGAUAUCACAUACAUCUUCCUUCUCGAUGAAGCCUCUUAAAUCUAAACAUUCAAGCAUCAGUCUAGGGUUCCGGUGGUAGAACUCAAGCAGAUCGGUGGAAAUAAAGACGAGUUCCCAGGUGUAGAUGGUGGUUGAGGUAGGUCCCGACAAACUGAGUUGCAGAUCUAGGGUUUAACUUUCAUGUGUGGAUUUUUUAACUCUAAAGUUGCUUCUGAGGGGAUCCAUCUGCAAUUUCUUCCAUUUGUUGUGCUGCCUCUGCCCUUUAGUAUCCUGCAGGUAUGUUCGAUAUAAUAUUUUCGGUUAAUUUAGUUGAUAUAUUAUUAGAUCAUGUUUAAAAAUAACACGCCUCGAAAGGUUCAGAAGUUAUCUUAGCAUUAGUGUUGGAAUCAAUGGAAUUUUGUUUGAAGUCGUGUGGUUCUAAAGCGAGUGCAUUGGAAGAGUUAUCAAAUGCUAUAAAAUUGGCCCCUACAAGAAGGGACUUUAUUGAAAGUGGUCGUUUGUUAUUGGCGCAACUUUUAUCUCCAACGGGUCAUAUGGGGUUAAGCUGGUCAAAAGUGCAAAAAGGUAACAAGUGUUAGUCGUCAUCGAAAAGAUUAACUGUAUGAUAAUCUCACCAGUGGAUGGAUAAGUACACAUUUGGAAAGCCUGAGCAUUAAAAACCUGCAAUUGCAAAGCCUGAGCAUUAUAUGUUUCUGAUGAUUUUUUUUACAGUUUGCGAUUACAGCAGCAAUCAUCACUGUGUGCACGAUGGGCACUGUUUCAGUACAGUGAUAAAACAUUGGUGUUUGUCUAUUUCUUUCUGUUUGGGCUCAGUGGCAUAAUGCUAUCGUCCCUGAUCUCUACUUUCUUCACACGAGCAAAAUCGGCUAUGGCAGUUGGAGCUCUUGCUUUUCUUGGAGCCUUUUUUCCUUAUUAUAUGGUCAAUGAAGAAGCUGUUUCUAUGUAAGUUACUGAUAUAUAAUAUUAACCAAUGAAUGGUGCAGUUAUGUUUUAUGAUGAUAAUGGGCAUUUGGAUCCAAGGGUUAGUGAGCAAGAAAUCAAGGAGGAAUUUUGCACCUUCGGUGUUAUCCGCAAACAAGAAAAUAACCAGUGCCAAACUGUCACUAUGGUCGGAAAUAGCUCCAGUAAUACCGCCAGCAAGCCUAUCCGUUAAGUAUAAUGUUUGCCUGUGCUACAUGUAGAAGACAACUUCAAAUGCAAUUUUGUGCUACAAAAGUGAGAGAAACUGCCACUUUUAUUGCAGGAAUGUCCCGAUGGAGCACAUGGAAAGUAGAUGGAGAUUUGGAUCUUGAUUAUCCACAUGGAUGUAAACGAGUCAAACAUGAUUUUGUUUGACCUAAGAGAGUUUGAGCUUAAUGUCUACUGGUUUAGUUUAGUGCUCUAGGUUCUAUGCGUUCUCAAUGACUUGGUGUAAUCUAUUUCUAAUAUCAUAUAUUUGUGGAUCAUAUGUAUAAGUAGAAAAGUAGUUACAAAAUAGGGUGUAGAUGAGCUUAGCCGACCCGCUUUCAUGCCAUAUAAUUUAAGAUGUCCUGAGCUAGACUCAUUUAGAGCUUCAUUUUUAAAGCUCAAGUUUGAUUUGUAAUAUAAUAUAAUAAUUUUUUCAAAUUUGAGUUUGACCUGGACUAGAUUUGUUUAUUAUUUAUUAAUAUUUAGAAUUAUUAUAUUUAAAUGCAUAUGUUAUUACUUUUACGUAUGUAUGUUUAGAAUUAUAAGUGGGUUAAAACUCGUGUAUUAUUAAAAGUUGCCAGUGUACAUAUUAGUCAUAUUAUUUUCACGUGUUAUCCAUAUCCUCUUAGAGAAUAGAUUGUCUUUUCACUCUUAUCUAUCAAAAAACAAAACCAUAAAACAGACGCACUCGCCACAACGCGCAGACAUUCUCACUAGCAAGUGAGAUUUCUUUUUAUUUGAAGUUUGAUUUAUUUUAAUUAUAUGUAUGCAGCUUUUACACUUCCUUUCAAUGUUUACUGAAAGCCUAAUACUUGGUUUGUUCCACACAUACAUCUUCCAUUGUGUGUAACCAGAAUACCAUUCAACAUGCUGAAUUCAAUAUGAUCAAAUUAGGUGAAGCAAGAGACGAGAAGCCAAAGAAAGUGCAAUAUGAACUUGUAUUAGUCUCUGCUCUUCAAUGGAUGCUGAGAUGAAAUAUGUUGUUGAGUUACACAAUUGGUGUGAUCCAAAAAAAAUAUGGGUAAUAGGCCCCUUUGGCUAUUCAUCCACCAUGGCGUGUCUUCUUAGGCAUUUGGCAGAGGCGUCUUUGAGAAUUCACGUACCCUGUUCAAGCUUGAAGAAACGUGCCCUUCCGUAAUGUUUUAUUAUUUUUUUAAAUCAAAUUAUUAUCAGGCUUAAUAAACCUGAUGCCAAGUGGGCUAAAUUCUAAACCAUGAUAAACGAUUUGUAAAUAGACCUAUAUUGGAAUUGUUA
Molecule: RNA transcript, 2706 nt
Organism: Helianthus annuus (common sunflower)
Lineage: Eukaryota; Viridiplantae; Streptophyta; Magnoliopsida; Asterales; Asteraceae
Exons: 11
Source: RefSeq, a predicted model, not a curated record